UUGUGUGGCCAAAGCUCUUUGGCAAAGCCUGAUCUUGUCAGAUCUGAGAAUCUGAGCAAAGCCGGGCCUGGUUAGUACUUUGAUGAGAGACCACAGAGAAUUCCAGGGGCCACAGUGG
Molecule: ribosomal RNA, 118 nt
Filed under: Periophthalmus magnuspinnatus
Lineage: Eukaryota; Metazoa; Chordata; Actinopteri; Gobiiformes; Gobiidae
Source: RNAcentral